AGAGUAAUUUGGACGUCUCGUUAAAAGCUUCCUUCGAGGGCAGCGAUAGCCUGCCUAUAUUAGACUCAAUAAUUAUUUAUAUAAAGCUUAUUACUAUAUAUCAGUAGUUGUUUCACUGAGAAUUGAUCCACUUUUCGUCAGGCCUAUAGACAUCUACAAGAAGUAAGAAGACAUACAGUAACCCGGAAGAAAAAACAAAGAAAUAUGAGUACUGCAUUCAUUGACACACCGGUGGAAAAAGCGUAUGGGACAGAAGUGUCUUUUUUCUUGCAUUGUCACUUGCGUGGGUAUGAUCGUCAUGGACAAGGAAAGUAUAUGGAUCAAGAUUACUACGAUAAAUAUGGUGCUCCAACGAACAAGGACCACUCGUGGGAAGAGGGCUAUCAUGUCGUGGAGAAAAAACUCGCAGAGUACUACGAUGUCGUAGGAAAUGACGACAUGGACUUUCCCUUUAUUGCUGGAGUCGGGGGAGGGGUACACCUCUACAAGCCAAUACACCAUCAUGAGCCAUGGAAUUGGACUGGAUGGGUACCCUUGCAGAAAGAAUGGUUUUGUCAGGGAACAUUCUUCAGAAACAGGUAUUUCCUGGCUCUUCGUGGUAAUGAAAUACAGAACAAUCUCUGGGAUUACCACCCUUACGAAGAGGAAGUUGAGGACA
Molecule: long non-coding RNA, 658 nt
Organism: Dendronephthya gigantea
Lineage: Eukaryota; Metazoa; Cnidaria; Anthozoa; Malacalcyonacea; Nephtheidae
Exons: 4
Source: RefSeq, a predicted model, not a curated record